ACGAGAAGCGGGUGGUCCUCGAGACGAUCGUGAGCCUGCUGCCCAAGGAGAAGAACUCCAUGUCCGUGAGCUUCCUGUCGAUGCUGCUGCGGGCGGCGCUCCACCUGGACACGACGCUGGCGUGCCGGCUCGACCUCGAGAAGCGGAUGUCCUCGCAGCUCGGGCAGGCCGUGCUCGACGACCUCCUCAUCCCGUCCUCCUCGCUGGACGCCGGCACAACGUUCGACGUCGACGCGGUGCAGAGGAUCCUGGCCGGGUACCUUGAGCACGAGAGCGAGGCGGCCCAGCUGGACUACAACACCGACGACGACUUCAUCUCGGCGGCGUCGCCGCCCAACGACGUCGGCAUGGUCGGCAGGCUCAUGGAGGCGUAC
This 374-nucleotide long non-coding RNA is filed under the name Setaria italica (foxtail millet). Its description in RNAcentral is "long non-coding RNA (SITA_LNC007332)". Lineage: Eukaryota; Viridiplantae; Streptophyta; Magnoliopsida; Poales; Poaceae. The record is from RNAcentral.